AGAGCAGUAUUGCUACUCCCCAACAUGUAGCAACAUUGAAGUUGCAAUUUGCAUAGAGAUAAAGUGACCUAGUAGGAUUCAACAUCUUGGUAUGAGAGUUGGUGGGAUUUAUUAUGUAGGGUACCUUACAAUGAGUAAGCUGAUCUAGAGGAUCAAAACCAAUCAGGGUGUUUAUGGGAAGUGAGAGCUCAUCGCCUGCCCUUGGGAACUGCAGGCUUGUCUCCUAUAUAGGCAAUGAAUGAAUGGCGAUCUCAGCAUGACAUAUGUGUUGAGAGAGAGAGAGAGAAAGGAGAAAAACCUUAUUCACAUUCAUUGUAAUCUCUACUUACAAUUGAGAGAUAUAUAUAUACAAGGCUAGUAACUACCAUACAUGUGACCUAUAUUAACAAGGAAAGAUAGUAUACUAUACAUACAUUAUAUUCAACACUCCCCCUCAAGCUGGAGCAUAUACGUCAUAUGCACCAAGCUUGUUACAAAUAUAUUUAAUCCUAGGACCUCUGAGAGAUUUAGUGAAGAUGUCUGCUAGUUGAUCAUUUGAAUUGACAAAACUUGUAGCAACACAUCCUGAUGCGAUCUUCUCUCUAAUGAAAUGACAGUCAACUUCAAUAUGCUUGGUCCUUUCAUGAAAGACUGGAUUGGAUGCAAUAUGUAAUGCGGCCUGGUUAUCACAGAUGAGUUUCAUCUGUUCAUCCUUUCCAAAUCUCAACUCCUGAAGAAGAUGUCUCAACCAUAUGAGUUCACAUGUUGCCAAAGCCAUAGCUCGAUACUCGGCUUCAGCGCUAGAUCUGGCCACUACAUCUUGUUUCUUACUCUUCCAAGAUAUUAGAUUACCUCCAAUAAAAACACAGUACCCUGAAGUGGAACGUCUAUCUGUGGGUGAGCCAGCCCAAUCUGCAUCUGUGUAACCAACAACUUGAGUAUGACCUCUGUUCUCGUACAAUACACCUUGGCCUGGUGUACUUUUGAUAUAUCGAAGAAUACGGAUUACGGCAUCCCAAUGGCUAUCACAUGGUGACUGUAGGAAUUGACUAACAACACUCACAGGAAAAGAAAUGUCUGGACGAGUAAUGGUGAGAUAGUUCAAUUUACCUACGAGCCGUCGAUAUCUCCCGGGGUCUCCUAAAGGCUCCCCCUGUCCUGGUACAAGUUUGACAUUCGGAUCCAUAGGUGUGUCUACCGGUUUACAGUCUAACAUACCGGUUUCUUCCAGGAUGUCUAAAGCAUACUUCCUUUGGGAAAGGACCACACCAGAACUGGAUUGAGCUAUCUCAAUUCCCAAGAAAUACUUGAGUUUCCCCAAGUCUUUGGUCUGAAAGUGGGUAAAAAGAUGUUGCUUUAGUUUCUGAAUACCAUCCUGAUCACUGCCUGUAAUGACGAUGUCGUCCACAUAAACAACCAGAUAAAUACACUGCCCCAAGGAGUUAUGAUGAUAAAAAACUGAAUGGUCUGCUGUACUGCGAAGCAUGCCAAACUCUUGAACAACAGAACUAAAACGGCUAAACCAUGCUCGAGGAGAUUGUUUCAAGCCAUAUAGAGAGCGGCGUAACCUGCACACUAAACCAGACUCCCCCUGAGCAACAAAACCAGGAGGUUGCUCCAUAUAAACUUCCUCAGCAAGAUCACCAUGAAGGAAGGCAUUUUUAAUAUCCAACUGAUAAAGAGGCCAAGAACACAUAGCAGCCAUGGACAGAAGCAAGCGGACAGAAGCAAUCUUGGCAACAGGGGAGAAUGUGUCACCAUAAUCAGAACCAUAAACUUGAGUAUAGCCUUUAGCAACUAAGCGGGCCUUAAGGCGAUCAACCUGACCAUCAGGACCAACCUUAACUGCAUAGACCCAACGACAACCAACUGUAGAUUUACCAGAGGGUAAAACAACAAGAUCCCAAGUGCCAUUAGAGUGCAGAGCAGCCAUUUCAUCCACCAUUGCCUGUCGCCAGCCUGGAUGGGAAAGAGCUUCAUGGGUGCUCUUUGGAAGAGAAACAGAGGAUAUAGCAGAAACAAAAGCAGAAUAGGGUGAAGAUAAUCGAUGAUAACUCAAAAAAUUGUAAAUAGGAUGAGGAUUACGAGUAGAGCGAGUACCUUUCCGAACAGCAAUGGGUAAGUCAUUAGGAGAAGGCAGAGCCGGGGCAGGUGAAGCCGAAGGGAUAGGAAGUGAGUCAGCAGGUGCCUCAGGAAAAGGGAGAGGAGCAACGACACGAGGGCGACGAUGAUAAACCUGAAGUGGUCGAGGGGGCAUAGCAUCAGGUAGGGAGACAAUGGGAAUGGGCAAGACUUCAGAAACAGGAAGAGACUCAGAAGUGGUGGAAAAGAAUGGUGAGUCCUCAAAGAAGGUGACAUCAGCGGAGAUAAAGUACCGAUGAGUCUCAAGGGAAUAACAACGAUAACCCUUCUGAAGUCUGGAAUAUCCCAAGAAGAGGCACUUCAUGGCUUUGGCGGAAAGCUUGUCCUGUCCAGGAGUGAGAAUAUGAACAAAGCAAGUACAACCAAAGACACGAGGAGGAAGGAAAUAAAGUGGUUGGUCAGGGAAAAGAAGGGAGUGAGGAAUCUGAUCGUGUAAGACAGAGGAGGGCAUACGAUUAAUCAAAUAACAAGCGGUAAGAACAGCGUCCCCCCAAAAACGAAAAGGAACAUGAUUAUGGAGGAGGAGAGUACGAGCUGUCUCAACAAGAUGUCGAUUCUUGCGUUCAGCUACCCCAUUUUGUUGAGGAGUAUGAGCACAAGAAGACUGAUGAAGAAUCCCAUGAUGAGACAUAAACGAAGUAAAUUGGGCUGAAAAAUAUUCCCUGGCAUUGUCACUGCGUAACACACGAAUAGAAAUAUUGAACUGGGUUUGGAUUUCAGUAUAAAAUUUCUGGAAAAUAGAGAAUAACUCAGCUCGAUUUUUCAUUAAGAAUAACCAAGUACAUCGAGAAUAGUCAUCAAUGAAAGUGACAAAAUACUGAAAUCCUAAAGUAGACGCAGUCCGACAAGGACCCCAAACAUCAGUGUGGACAAGCUCAAAAGGAGACUUUGCCCGAUUAUUCAAACGCUUUGGGAACGAGACACGAGUAUGUUUCCCAAGCUGACAUGACUCACACGGAAGCGACGACAAAGUGGAAAAACGAGGAACCAUCUUCUGGAACUUGGAGAGACUAGGGUGGCCCAGACGAUUGUGAAUGAGGAGAGGAGCAUCAGUGGAAAUGCAAAUUGCAGGAGAUGAAUCUGAGGUGAGGUGAUAGAGGCCUUGAGACUCACGUCCUAUGCCAAUCGUCUUCCCCGUACUCCGGUCCUGCAAGGUCACAAAUUUAUCAGAAAAGGUAAUAGAGCAAUUAAGAGUACGAGUGAUUUUGCUGAUGGAAAUAAGAUUAAAAGGACAUUCAGGAGUAUAAAGGACAGAAGUGAGAGGUAGAGAAGGCAAAGGAAGGGCCAAACCAAUACCUUUAGCCACAGUUUGAGAACCAUUAGCUAAGGUAACAGUAGGUAAAUCAGAGGUAGUAGUAAUAGAGGAGAAAAGAUCCUUAUUACCAGAUAGGUGAUCAGAUGCUCCAGAAUCUAGAAUCCAGGGUCCAAGAGAAGAUGUGUGGGUAAGGCAGGCAGAGGCAUUACCAGGCUGGGCAACAGAGGCAAUAGAAGCCUGAGAUGUCUGAGAUACGGAGGAGCUCGGAGGCUGAGGCAGCGGAGAAUCAGAGGACUGGGCCAUAUGGGCAGUGCGAGGAGGUCUUCCAUGUAACUGAUAGCAACGAUCGCGAGUGUGGCCAAGUUUAUUGCAAUAGGUGCAAUGAGGACGUUGGCCUCUACCUCGGGUACCACUACGUCCUCCUCGAGAGGUAGUUUGAGAAACUAACACAGAAGAAUCUGAAGCGCUAUCAGAUGGCAAAGUCUGAGUGGACGAGAUACGGAGGAGGCGAGCAAACACAUCAUCCAAGGACGGAACUGAUGAACUACCAAGAAUCUGAUCACGAAUAGGCUCAAGAUCCGGACGGAGGCCGAUAAGAGUAAGGACCAUGAAGAACUUGUCAAGCUGUGUUUGUUGAGCCCCAACAUCAGGAGUAAGAGGCAUCACAGUCAAGAACUGCUCCUUAAGAGAGGCAAUCUGGCCAAUAUAAGUAGAUAGAUCCAAGUCCUGUUGGCUGAGAUGGACAAUAGCAGAAGCCACCUUAUAAAGACGCUGGAUAUCAUUCGUGUAUAAUCCUUUGGCCUGAGUCCAAAAUUUAAAACAAGUUUUAUAGGCCUGAAGAUGAAGAAGAAUUCGGGGAUCAACCGAUUGCCAUAAUACACUACACAACUGUGCAUCUAUCUUCCUCCACUGUACGCGGUCGACCUCAGGGAUAUCUGCCUCCUGUGUAAUCAAGUGAUCCUCAUAUCCUUGACCCAUAAACCAAAGUUCAACAGAGGCAGACCAGGAAAGAUAAUUUUCACUCCCAACUAAUUUCUCCGAAGUAAUCAUAGGAGAUCCAGAUAUGACAGAGGAAAAAAUGGAAGCUUUAGUAGCCAUAUCCACUUAUCUGGAGAAUGAAGUAUGUUUGGAUCGAAGAGAGCCCUAAUACGGCUUCAGAUUUCAGCGUGGCACCACCGAAAAAGGGAGACCGCCUCAGAUCGCGGUGUGGUACCACCAGAAAGGGAGAAGAACACUUCCCAAGGCACGUGCAGGGAUUGGAGUGGAGAAAAAGUGGUCGGAGCUUCGCCGGAAAGACUGUUUGGAGGGCCGACGGAGGCAAAAAUCCCCAAAAGAGGUACGUCCAGGGCUCGGAUGGGAGAACCAGGGAGGUGGGAAGGCUGAUCGGCGUCAGGCGAAGCUGGAGGAGGAGGCGCGUCGCCGGAAAAGCUCUCACGCGCCCCCACGCGCCGGCGCGUGAGAUUCAACCGCCGGCCGGAAAAUUGCGCGUGGCCGGCGCGUGGCUGCUCUUUUGGUGCUGGUGCCUUCACAAAAGUUGGAGAUCUCCUCCAGGCGCUCCUUCUGGUAUGGUCGGUGUCGGAAAAAUAGGUCGCCGGGAAAUUUCGCCGGAAAAUUUCGCCGGAAAGUUCGCCGGAAAAUUUCGCCGGAAAAUUUGCCAGCGGUGAGUGUUUUCUAACGACGAUCCGACUGACCGGAAAAAAUUGGGAGAUGGGGAAGGUGACCGGAAAGAAACACGGUCACCGGAAGGUUUCCCGGAGUUGAUGACACGGAAAACAGGAAAGAAUUAGGUUUUCUUCCUUGGCUCUGAUACCAUGUUGAGAGAGAGAGAGAGAAAGGAGAAAAACCUUAUUCACAUUCAUUGUAAUCUCUACUUACAAUUGAGAGAUAUAUAUAUACAAGGCUAGUAACUACCAUACAUGUGAC
Molecule: long non-coding RNA, 5299 nt
Filed under: Vitis vinifera (wine grape)
Lineage: Eukaryota; Viridiplantae; Streptophyta; Magnoliopsida; Vitales; Vitaceae
Description: long non-coding RNA (VVIN_LNC005601)
Source: RNAcentral